Non-coding RNA from Mycena galopus ATCC 62051, 95 nucleotides. The record is from the annotation of a GenBank genome assembly. NCBI's taxonomy places the organism in Eukaryota, Fungi, Basidiomycota, Agaricomycetes, Agaricales, Mycenaceae.
GCAUUAAUGGGGUAGAGGUAACCCAGGUCUUCAAAGUUCCUGCCUUGAGUGAAAAGUUUAAAGACCAGCCGAGGGUUCGAAUCCCUAUUAAUGCA